UACGUAGGGGGCGAGCGUUGUCCGGAUUCAUUGGGCGUAAAGCGCUUUAAGGCGGCUCGCUAAGUCGGGUGUGAAACCUCCAGGCUCAACCUGGAGACGCCACUCGAUACUGGCGUGACUAGAGUUCGGUAGGGGACCACGGAAUUCCUGGUGUAGCGGUGAAAUGCGCAGAUAUCAGGAGGAACACCAGUGGCGAAGGCGGUGGUCUGGGCCGAUACUGACGCUGUAGAGCGAAAGCGUGGGGAGCGAACAGG
This 254-nucleotide ribosomal RNA is filed under the name uncultured bacterium. Its description in RNAcentral is "partial 16S ribosomal RNA". It matches the Rfam family "Bacterial small subunit ribosomal RNA", at positions 524 to 776 of the family's 1533-position model. The record is from RNAcentral.